UUGUAGACCAGGCUGGCCUUGAG
Molecule: non-coding RNA, 23 nt
Filed under: Cricetulus griseus (Chinese hamster)
Lineage: Eukaryota; Metazoa; Chordata; Mammalia; Rodentia; Cricetidae
Source: RNAcentral